RNAcentral lists this long non-coding RNA (795 nucleotides) under Pan troglodytes (chimpanzee). RNAcentral's name for it is "long non-coding RNA NONPTRT011192". Lineage: Eukaryota; Metazoa; Chordata; Mammalia; Primates; Hominidae. The record is from RNAcentral.
UCUGCCUCCUGCUCAGUAAUUGCCACCAGAUGACCAGCUGUGGCUCAGACACUCUCAGUGUUCAGGUGUUGCCAUCUUGUCAGCACCCUCAAGAGGCACAAGCUCCUUCCCUCAACAAUGCUCACUAGAUACUUCCUACCUAUCAGGCACGGCAAGGAACCAGGCAGCAGCAGCGCUCUGGCCCUAAUCACCACCUGCAGGGACCACCCACAGAGCAGCUCAGCUUGGGAAGUCAGCCUGCAAGAAUGGCAGCCACUCAGACUUCACAAGGUCUUUCUCUCUCCAGAGGCAGCUGCCAUGUCAAGCAGGAGAGCUCACCACUACCCAAUCCUUUCCCCAGGAACAGGCUUCCCUGGGUGGACAGUUUCCAACUGCACAACGAUCCUCUCCUUUCAGGGGCUCAGGCUGAGGUCACACAGGAGGGCAGGCUCCAGGCGGCCAGAGCAUGAGACUACCACUGGGUCCUGGAUGAUGCCUCCCUGCAGCGCCGUCUGUAAACCCCACAGCUGUGUUUUCACUUAAAGCCACUUCUCCUGACUGCGCUGCACCUUGUUCCAGAGGCUUGCUCUGUUCUCAUUAAGGUUAAAAAUGACAGGACAAGGAUUCUUCAAUGCUGAGGUUUUACUUUCUGAGAAGAAAAAACGUCUGUCUCUGGAGCUAUGGUCAACCCACAGGGAGGGUUGCUCUGUAGCAUGAUGAGCAAGUCUGCGUGUGUCACAUGCAGCCAGCUGGAGAGAGAGUGCAGCCAAUCUGCUCAUCCUAAUCAAAGCUGGAGAAUUUUUGAGGAUUUUCAUG